Molecule: ribosomal RNA, 254 nt
Filed under: uncultured bacterium
Lineage: Bacteria
Description: partial 16S ribosomal RNA
Rfam family: Bacterial small subunit ribosomal RNA
Source: RNAcentral
UACGAGGGGAGCAAGCGUUGUUCGGAUUUACUGGGCGUAAAGGGCGCGUAGGCGGUCGUGACAAGUCACUUGUGAAAUCUCCGGGCUUAACUCGGAACGGUCAAGUGAUACUGUCGGACUAGAGUACAGAAGGGGCAACUGGAAUUCUCGGUGUAGCGGUGAAAUGCGUAGAUAUCGAGAGGAACACCUGUGGCGAAAGCGGCUCACUGGACCACAACUGACGCUGAUGCGCGAAAGCUAGGGGAGCAAACAGG